GAUGAAUGCUGGCGGCGUGCCUAACACAUGCAAGUCGAGCGGCAGCGAGGGGUGCUUGCACCCUGUCGGCGAGCGGCGAACGGCUGAGUAACGCGUAGGAAUUUGCCCCAAAGUGAGGAAUAACUGCCCGAAAGGGUAGCUAAUGCCGCAUAUGGUCUUCGGAUUAAAGGAUUUAUCCGCUUUGGGUGAAGCCUGCGUUGGAUUAGGUUGUUGGUAGGGUAAUGGCCUACCAAGCCGACGAUCCAUAGCUGGCCUGAGAGGAUGAUCAGCCAGACUGGAACUGAGACACGGUCCAGACUCCUACGGGAGGCAGCAGUGAGGAAUCUUCCACAAUGGGCGAAAGCCUGAUGGAGCAACGCCGCGUGAAGGAUGAAGGCCUUCGGGUUGUAAACUUCUUUUAUGAGUGAAGAAUAUGACGGUAACUCAUGAAUAAGCACCGGCUAACUACGUG
This 451-nucleotide ribosomal RNA is filed under the name uncultured bacterium. Its description in RNAcentral is "partial 16S ribosomal RNA". It matches the Rfam family "Bacterial small subunit ribosomal RNA", at positions 28 to 507 of the family's 1533-position model. The record is from RNAcentral.